This 1112-nucleotide long non-coding RNA is filed under the name Dasypus novemcinctus (nine-banded armadillo). RNAcentral's name for it is "lncRNA (ENSDNOG00000051350.1)". The record is from RNAcentral. Lineage: Eukaryota; Metazoa; Chordata; Mammalia; Cingulata; Dasypodidae.
CCUAGAGCGGCCGCGGAGGAGCGCCCUGGGCCGGGCCGCCGGGCGCGAGGCCUUCCCGGGAGGCACCUCAGCGGUCUCCGCGCUCUCCCCGGCGACGCUCCGGCGCCCCCGCAGGGCCUCCGGGAACUUCGAGGUCCCCUGCGAAGGGCCAGCUCGGAGCCUCCAGCCUGAAGAAGGUGGAAGUCGGGGAAAUGUGGGCGCUCCGGGGUUGACCCCACGGCGCUCGUUCUCGCUCAGGAGGAGCCGGUGACAAAAUUCGGGAGGUGACGAGCAGAGAGGAAGGCGAAGCGGCGCCGGCUCUUUGCCCCCGGACCCCAGCGCACCCCAUUGGGCUUCCGGGGGGAACGAGGAGGCUCUGCAGAGACUCUGGCCCGAGAGCAGGUGGCGGUGGCCUGGACGCGCUCCAGCCCGUCGGGUGCUUGGGGCCGCAGCCCGGCCUUGCAGACGCGGUGGAGUCGCUGCCGGGUGUGCUCGGGAGGGAUGCAGGUUCCGGAGCGGCAGGGGCUGGGGAGAUCGGCUGCCCUGGAGCCCGUCUCCUGGAAAGCACGCUUGGAAUGCCUCUUGAGGAUUCUGAGAGUCGGUCUGACUUGCCCAGGAAGAGAGAUCAGGAGACCAGAUGAUGCAGCAGCAAAAGUCUUAGGUGGACAAGUUGGAAGAAAGAAAUUUCCAGGCAGUAGGAGUAUGAACAAAUGUAGGGCUUACAAACUGCAUGAGGUGCAGUGGAAAAGAAGUUUUCAGAUUCAAAUCCUGCUUGGUUGGAUACACUUAUUUGAAAAUAAGCCCCAAUUUUGAGCAGUUUGAAAAUUUGAAUGUACUACUGUAAGCUAGGAACCGAUAAAAUAGAAUUCUUCGAAAUAUAUUAAGUGAAAAGAGCAAGCUGCAGAAAAAUGGUAAAUAUUUUACUCCUCUUUGUAAAAUAAAGUGUCCAAAAGAAAAUCAGGAAAGUGCAUAAGAGAAUAAGAGAUAUUGGUGGGAACUGGGGAGAUGGGAGAAAGGCAGAGCCAAAGAUUUUCUCACUAUGCCUUUUAAUGCUUUCUCAUUUUUGAACCAUGUGAAUAUAUUACUCAUGCAGAAAGUAUUUAAAUUAAACAAUAAAAAAAUCUUGUCUCUGU